Molecule: ribosomal RNA, 1219 nt
Filed under: Scaurus atratus
Lineage: Eukaryota; Metazoa; Arthropoda; Insecta; Coleoptera; Tenebrionidae
Also listed under: 1 other name
Description: SSU rRNA
Rfam family: Eukaryotic small subunit ribosomal RNA
Source: RNAcentral
UUGUCUCAAAGAUUAAGCCAUGCAUGUCUCAGUACAAGCCGAAUUAAGGUGAAACCGCGAAAGGCUCAUUAAAUCAGUUAUGGUUCCUUAGAUCGUACCCACAUUUACUUGGAUAACUGUGGUAAUUCUAGAGCUAAUACAUGCAAACAGAGCUCCAACCGGAAACGGAAGGAGCGCUUUUAUUAGAUCAAAACCAAUCGGUGUCGGUUCUCCGUCAUCGUACAACUUGGUGACUCUGAAUAACUUUACGCUGAUCGCACGGUCUCGCACCGGCGACGCAUCUUUCAAAUGUCUGCCUUAUCAACUGUCGAUGGUAGGUUCUGCGCCUACCAUGGUUGUAACGGGUAACGGGGAAUCAGGGUUCGAUUCCGGAGAGGGAGCCUGAGAAACGGCUACCACAUCCAAGGAAGGCAGCAGGCGCGCAAAUUACCCACUCCCGGCACGGGGAGGUAGUGACGAAAAAUAACGAUACGGGACUCAUCCGAGGCCCCGUAAUCGGAAUGAGUACACUCUAAACCCUUUAACGAGGAUCAAUUGGAGGGCAAGUCUGGUGCCAGCAGCCGCGGUAAUUCCAGCUCCAAUAGCGUAUAUUAAAGUUGUUGCGGUUAAAAAGCUCGUAGUCGAAUCUGUGUCCCGCGCCGCCGGUUCAUCGUUCGCGGUGUUAACUGGCGUGCCGCGGGACGUCCUGCCGGUGGGCUUAGCUCGAGAGGGCGGCCCAACUCAAUCCCGCCGCGGUGCUCUUCAUUGAGUGUCGAGGUGGGCCGGCACGUUUACUUUGAACAAAUUAGAGUGCUUAAAGCAGGCUAAAACUUCGCCUGAAUACUGUGUGCAUGGAAUAAUGGAAUAGGACCUCGGUUCUAUUUUGUUGGUUUUCGGAACCCCGAGGUAAUGAUUAAUAGGAACGGAUGGGGGCAUUCGUAUUGCGACGUUAGAGGUGAAAUUCUUGGAUCGUCGCAAGACGGACAGAAGCGAAAGCAUUUGCCAAAAACGCUUUCAUUGAUCAAGAACGAAAGUUAGAGGUUCGAAGGCGAUCAGAUACCGCCCUAGUUCUAACCAUAAACGAUGCCAGCUAGCGAUCCGCCGACGUUCUUCCGAUGACUCGGCGGGCAGCUUCCGGGAAACCAAAGCUUUUGGGUUCCGGGGGAAGUAUGGUUGCAAAGCUGAAACUUAAAGGAAUUGACGGAAGGGCACCACCAGGAGUGGAGCCUGCGGCUUAAUU